Syngnathoides biaculeatus (alligator pipefish) is the source of this 410-nucleotide long non-coding RNA. RefSeq lists it as uncharacterized. Lineage: Eukaryota; Metazoa; Chordata; Actinopteri; Syngnathiformes; Syngnathidae. The transcript has 3 exons. The record is from RefSeq and is a predicted model, not a curated record.
GUCUGAGGGGUAAAAGAGGAGCAGGGAGCGAAGCGUUUGCACUGCGCCUCUUACGUCUCCAGCUGUGAGCAAGCAUGAAAACGGAAUGCACCAAUAUUUAGGAGUAGUCCAGGAAGUUGUACGGGUUGCGGGAGCCGAACUCGUACUCGAUGUCCGUGGAAACGGGAAGCUGUCCUACAUAGCUGACCGAACGUCCCAUGCAGAACCUCAAGCACUCCGCCUUCUUCUGCACCCAGUCCAGGGCCCAGAGGUCCCAUAGGCUCCCGUCUUCGCUGUCUGACAAUGCAGGGACAGACAGAAGCAGAAAGACCAGAAGGCAAAAUACCGUACUUGCCUAGUUUUCGGAGUGCACCUCCUCCCGCCGCUCCGCACUCCUCAAAACACUGCCUUCGGAUUUGGAACAGAGCCUC